Molecule: ribosomal RNA, 87 nt
Filed under: Azospirillum sp. BE72
Lineage: Bacteria; Pseudomonadati; Pseudomonadota; Alphaproteobacteria; Rhodospirillales; Azospirillaceae
Description: partial 16S ribosomal RNA
Rfam family: Bacterial small subunit ribosomal RNA
Source: RNAcentral
GAACCUGAGAGUUUGAUCCUGGCUCAGAACGAACGCUGGCGGCAUGCCUAACACAUGCAAGUCGAACGAAGGCUUCGGCCUUAGUGG